Peromyscus californicus insignis is the source of this 6132-nucleotide RNA transcript. It is a transcript of the gene named ankyrin repeat and death domain containing 1A, with no coding region annotated. Lineage: Eukaryota; Metazoa; Chordata; Mammalia; Rodentia; Cricetidae. The transcript has 16 exons. The record is from RefSeq and is a predicted model, not a curated record.
CGGGGGACCUAGGGCAGCUUGAAGGCACAGAGAGGAAGUGGGAGCUGGAGGCGGGAUAUGGAUGUGCGGAUCAGACUCACAGCUGGGCAGACAGCGAGCAGGGUCUACAGAGAGACGCGGAACCUCUGCCGCCCACUCCCCCAUUCUGCGCGCUCCCGGCUCCUCCGUGCACUCCUCGCCCGGCGGCCACGCGCCCUGUACGUCCUGCACCCCCGGAGCAGCGGGAUGGAGGAGGAGCUGGCUUGGGAGACCUAUGGCUUGCUUCCCCUGGAGAGACAGCUCCAUGAGGCCUCACGCUGGAAUCAGGUGGAGAGGAUGAAGGGACUGUUUGAGAAGAGGGUUAACAUCAGGGCUAGAAACCAUGUGGGCAGAGUGGCCCUGCACUGGGCUGCAGGUGCUGGACACGAGCAGGCUGUGCGGCUGCUCUUGGAGCAUGGGGCUGCUGUAGACGACGUGGACUCGUUUGGGAUGAAUGCACUUCUCCUGUCUGCCUGGUUUGGCCACUUGCAGAUUGUGCAGAUUCUGGUCAAUGCUGGGGCCAAGGUCCACUGUGAGAGCAAGGACGGCCUGACCUUACUGCACUGUGCAGCCCAGAAAGGCCACAUGCCUGUGCUGGCCUUCGUCAUGGAAGACCUGGAGGAUGUGGCCUUAGACCAUGCAGACAAGCUGGGAAGGACAGCAUUUCACAGAGCUGCCGAGCACGGACAGCUGGAUGCCCUGGACUUCCUCGUGGGCUCUGGCUGUGACCACAGUGUCAAAGACAAGGGGGGGAACACGGCCCUGCACCUGGCUGCCAGCCAGGGCCAUGUAGCCGUGCUGCAGAGACUAGUGGACAUCGGGCUAGACCUGGAAGAGCAGAAUGAGGAGGGCCUGACUGCUUUGCACGCAGCCGCUGAAGGAGGGAUCCACGCUGACUGUGUGAGGCUUCUCCUCAGUGCCGGGAGCAACGUCAAUGCCCUCACCCAGAAAAAGCUGAGCUGCCUCCACUACGCAGCCCUUGGUGGCUCUGAGGAUGUGUCCCGGGCACUCAUCAAGGCAGGAGGGUGCACAAACGUGGCUGACAAGCAGGGCACUGCUCCUAUACACCUUGCUGUGAGGCACAACUUCCCUGGUCUGGUCCAGCUCUUCAUAGAAGCCCACAGUGAUCUGGAUGCCAUGGACAUUAGGCAGCAGACUCCCCUCCACCUCGCUGCCGAGCAUGCCUGGCAGGACGUAGCAGAGAUGCUCCUCAUUGCUGGAGUUGACUUAAGCCUGAGAGAUAAGCAAGGAAAAACAGCCCUGGCAGUAGCCGCCCGCAGCAACCACGUCAGCCUGGUGGACAUGAUCAUCAAAGCUGAGCGUUUUUACAGAUGGGAGAAGGACCACCUUUCAUGCAGGGACACCAGCAACCCUUCUAGAAAGAACCUGACCUUUAAGCAAGACCAUCGGCAGGAAACACAGCAGCUCCGCUCUGUGCUAUGGCGACUGGCUUCCCGGUGUCUGAGGCCCAAUGAGUGGAAGAAACUGGCGUAUUCCUGGGAGUUCACAGAGGCUCAUGUCUGUGCCAUUGAGCAACAGUGGACAGGAACCAGGAGCUACCAGGAGCAUGGUCACCGGAUGCUGCUCAUCUGGCUGCAUGGUAUGGCCACAGCUGGGAAGAACCCCAGCAAAGCACUGUUUGAGGGCCUCGUGGCCAUCGGCAGGAGAGACUUGGCUGUUUGGAAUAAUGCUGAAACAACCCUGAAAUGAGCCGCAGACUGGCUUAAACAUCAAGUUGAGCCUUCCGAGGCCAGCAUAAGAGAGCACCAGGAAGAUGGUAAAUGGCGAGCCCAGGGCCCCCAGGAGAUGCACAGCCAUGUAAGCUUGUGGGAACGCCUUGGGGCCACAGCAUGGAAGAUGUACAGCCAUGUGAGCUUGGGGGAACGCCUCGGGGCCACAGCAUGGAAGAAGAUCUCCGUAAGGGCUUUCAGAGCCGUCCCUGCACACAGACCUCCGGCUGCAUCUACUGAACCAUAGACCCCAGAAGGAAACUAAAGUACUUUUUGGAGGAUGGGAGAUGUGUCUAUCCUAGGUUUUCUGGUCAUCCUAUCCCAGGGGCGUGGCUCUUUGCACUCUCAGCUCACUCAGCUGUAUUCCUGGGGGUGCAUACGUGUGCACAUGCCUCACAUGGGUGUGGAGGAGGCCAGAGGACACUUGGUGGGUAUUUGUCCCCGGGCACUGUCCAUCUUGGGUUUUUUUUGUUGUUGUUGUUUUGAGACAGAGUCAGUCUCUCUAUUCCUGGCAGUCCUAGAACAACCUUGUGUUUUUGAGACAGGACCUCUCACUGACCUAACUAGACUGACUGACCAGUGAGCCCAGUGACCCUCCUGUCUUGCCUCCCCAGUCCCGGGCUUACAAGUGUGUGCCACCAUGUCCUGGUUUUUGUGUGGGUUCUGAGGGUCAAACUCGGGUCCUUAUGUUGCAGGGCAAGUAUACAGACUGAGCUGUCUCCCAGGCCUCUCAGCUCACUUCUCUUCCAUUAUCUUAGAUCAUCAUGAAGCACCCCCUUGAGGUGCAAGGGGUGUCUUUACAGCUAGGGCACUGAGGUCCAGGGAGGAGAAACCUCUUGUCCAGGUCAUACCACAAAUCAAGUGAUAUCAAAACCAGCAUUCCUCCGACCCCAGCCUGCAGGAAGGGCUUCAUCACCUUCAAACUGGAUUGUCCUUAAGUCAUUAAGGAUAACUCACUAAUCUCUAGUGCCAAACAGACAGAAACUGCCAUGCUGUUCCCAUAGCUGUUUGUAUUUAUAAGUCCGUUUGUAUAUGUUGACAGUCCAGGAGGCAUGCAUUCUUCUUUUUCUUCCCUCUAACUGGAUAAUUGGAUAUGUAAUUUUAAAUGUUUUUUUUUAUCUUGAAAUCAUUUCAGACUUAUAAAAGUUGCAAAACAGUACUGAGAAUGUUCUGCAUGAAGCUUCUGUAAACGUUAACUCUUACACAACUCCAGUGUGUUUUUGUAAAAUCAGGAAGUUAGAGGUUGGAGAGAUGGCUCAGUGGUUGAGAGCCCUUGUUCUUGCAGAGGACCCUGGGUUCAGAUCCCAGCACCCACAUGGCAGCUCACAACUGUCUCUAACUCUGACUCCAGGUGAUCUGACACCCUCUUCUGGCCUCCAGCAUUACUGCCUGUAUGUGGGGUGUGUGUGUGUGUGUGUGUGUGUGUGUGUGUGUGUGUGUGUGUGUGUGUAUGUAUGUGUGUAUACAUGCAUGCACGAUUCUAUGUGUAUGUGUGUUCAGGUACACACGCAUACACAUGAAAUCUUCUUUUAAAAAUUAAGAAACUAACAAUGUUUACAAACUAUUCACUAAUCCCCGACCACAUUCAAAUUUUGUCAAUGUUUUGUCAUCUCCUGUAUUAAUAUCUGGUCCGGGAUCACAGAUUACAUUUAGACAUUUUAAUUGUCACUCUAUUGUGUUUCUUUGGUGCUGGAGACUGAACGCAGGGUCUCACAUGUGCUAAAUGCAUGCUAUACUACUGAGUUAACACCCUCAGCAUUUGUUUUUGUUUUAGAUAGGGUCUCUCUGGGUAGCCCAAGCCAGCCUCAAACUUGAGAACCUCUCACCUCAGCCUCCCAAAUACUGGGAUUACAAGGUAUGCACCACCAAACCUGCCCCUGCCACACAUUUGCUUACUUAUUGUGUGUGUCACACCUUUGGAGGUCAGAGGACAGCCUGCCAGAGUCAAUUUUCUCCCUUGACCCUGUGGGUCCUGGCCUUGAACUCAGGUCAUCAGUGUAGACAGAGUUUUCCUGUCCCACAGCCACUCUCAAAUAAACACACUGAGACUUAAUAUUAAUUACAAUGCUCUGCCAAUAGCUCAGGCUUGUUACUAACUAGCUCUUACAACUUAACCCACUUCUAUUAAUGUAUGUGCUUCCCUGAGGCUUUUACAUCUAACCCAUUUUGUGUGUCUGACUCAUUUUCCUUGUGGCUGGUGACCCUCUGACUCCGCCCUUCCUCAUCCCAUCAUUCUCAGUUUGGCUUUCCUGCCUGACUUUAUCCUGUUCAGCUAUCGGCCAGUCAGCUUGUUUAUUAAAGCAAUCAUAGCAACAUAUAUUCCCACAGUGUACAGAAGGAUUAUUCCACAGCACAUCAUACUUGAUGGCAAACACUUCACCCACUGAGCUAUCUGGCUAGACCCCUAUCUGCUCUCCAGUUUUUCUUUUUAGAUUUAAAAUUUUUAUUUUAUGUGUAUGACUUGCAUGCUUGUAUGUAUGCACACCACAUCUGUACCUGGUGCCCCAGGAGGCCAGAAGAGGCAUCAGAUUCCCUGAAACUGGAGUUAACAGAGGUCAUGAUCCACACUGUGGAUACUGGGAACUGAACCCAGAUCCUCAACAAAGUAUCCUUCACUGCUGCGCCAUCUCCCAGCCUCUCACCUCCUCUUUAAUAGUCCCAUGAGAAGUAGAACGUGCUGCACCGGGAGGGAUGUUUCAUAGCUGCACAUCCAGGAUGGACCCACUUGCCAUUGUGGCUGCUGAGCACUGUACAGUGGGUAAGGCUGAGGAACUGAAUUUUCAACUUUAUCCAGUUUUUCUUUUGUUGUUUUUAUUUUUUUGAGACAGGGUUUCUCUGUGAAACAGUCCUGGUUAUCCUGGAACUCGCUCUGUAGACCAGGCUGGCCUCACACUCUCAGAGAUCUGCCUGCCUCUGACUCCUGAGUGCUGGGAUUAAAGGCAUGCACCACCACUGCCCAGCCUGUUUUAACUUUCAAAACGUGCAGGUGCAUAAAGGAAUGUGGCAUUCUGGCAAAGGUUGAAUGAUGACUAAAGGUCAGUAGUCACUGGGGCUCAGGGUGAGGAGGAAGGAUCAGUAGAUGGCAUCCAGAGUACUGUUGGGACGAGGAAGCUGUUCUUUCUGGUAAUAGUGGAUACAUGAUAUUGAACAGUACUCAAAACCCACGAGACACACAACGCUGUCAGCCCUGAUGCAAGCUGUGGACUUCAGUUAGUAAUGUUUAGUACAAGCUGGUGAUGUGGCUCAGUGGAUGGAAUGCUGACUUGGCAUUCACGAAAGCUUUGGCGCCAUCUCUGGCUUGAACCGGGUGUGGUGGUGUGCUCAGCAACAUAGUGAGUUUGAAGCCAGAUUGAGCUACAGGAGACUCUGUCUAAAAAAAAAAAAAAAGGAAGGCCAGGCAGUGGUUGUUAUGAAUUAUUGCACAGAGGUGUGUGUGUGUGGCGGGGUGAGGCAAGGGUAUCCCGUGCAUGUAUGGAAACAGGCUGGGCCGAUGAUGUAGCGGCUGGCUGGGCAGAUGCACCACCAUGUGGGCAUGGUGGUGGCAGUGGUGGCCAGUAAUUCACAACCCAGAUGCUGCAUCCAUGUGGAGAGUUUAUUAGAGAGACGAAGAGAAAGAUAGGAGAGAGAGAGAGAGAGAGAGAGAGACAGAGACAGAGACAGAGACAGAGACAGAGACAGAGACAGAGGAAGGAAGGGGAGGAGUUUUUCCUCAGAAUGAGGCCUUUACAUCAGAAUGCAAGGCCAGCACCAAGGGGGUGGGAUUUCAAAUGGGUGGGAUUUCAAGGGGCUGAUCAGAAUAUUAACAGUGGUGGUACAUGCCUUUAAUCCCAGCAUUCAGGAGGCAGAGGCAGGUGGAUUUCAGAGUUAGAGCUAACUUGGUCUACAGAGUGAGUUCUGGGACAGCUCGGGCUACACAGAGUAAUCUUGUCUCAAAAAACAAAACAAAAACCUCAAGCAAGCAAACAAAUAAAUAAAAUGAAGGAAGGAAGAAACAAAGAAAGAAAGAAAGGAGCAUCAGGCUGGGCAGCAGUGGCGCACACCUUCAAUCCCAGCACUCGGAAGGCAGAGCCAGGCGGAUCUCUGUGAGUUCGAGGCCAGCCUGGGCUACAGAGCGAGAUCCAGGACAGGCACCAAAGCUACAACUACACAGCAAAACCCUGUCUCGAAAAAAAGAAAAAAAGAGCUUUAUAAUUUUGGUUUUAUAUUUAGUCCUUUAAACUAUUGUAUUAAAAUUUUCUAUAUAAGAAUUCAAUGUUUAGACUUCUGAAUAUGGCUAUUUCAUUUUCUCACUACUAUUUUUUGAAAAAAUAUUUCAUUACAUAAUAUAAAUAUCUACAAAAUAUUCCCAAUGACUGUCAAUAAAUAUGGAUUUAUUAAUGUCUCA